GACGAACCGUGCGAACGUUGUUCGGAAUCACUGGGCUUAAAGGGCGCGUAGGCGGGCAGGCAAGUCAGGGGUGAAAUCCCACGGCUCAACCGUGGAAGUGCCUUUGAUACUGCCGGUCUUGAGGGAGGUAGGGGCGUGCGGAACUUCCGGUGGAGCGGUGAAAUGCGUAGAUAUCGGAAGGAACACCGGUGGCGGAAGCGGCGCGCUGGACCUCUUCUGACGCUGAGGCGCGAAAGCCAGGGGAGCAAACAGG
RNAcentral lists this ribosomal RNA (253 nucleotides) under uncultured bacterium. RNAcentral's name for it is "partial 16S ribosomal RNA". It matches the Rfam family "Bacterial small subunit ribosomal RNA", at positions 524 to 776 of the family's 1533-position model. The record is from RNAcentral.